This 1179-nucleotide long non-coding RNA is filed under the name Polistes fuscatus (common paper wasp). RNAcentral's name for it is "uncharacterized LOC122523935". The record is from RNAcentral. Lineage: Eukaryota; Metazoa; Arthropoda; Insecta; Hymenoptera; Vespidae.
GAGAGAGAGAGAGAGAGAGAGAGAGAGAGAGAGAGAGAGAGAGAGAGGAAACAAGCAGCUUCAUUAUACCGGUAAUCGUUUGUGCCGCAGAAGACUUAUACGAAGAAGCGUACAAAAUGGUUUGUUAAAUGAGCCACAAAUGAUCGUCUACCAAUAACGCUCCGGAUGGAAUAAAUUGGGAUUCGAGAAAUUUUGAAUAAUCCGACUCAUUGGAUAGAAUAAUUCGAAAAGUUGAAAGGACGGUGUUGAACUAUCAUAUUACAGAAACACAACUGUUACACUGGCAAAAGAAACUCGGUGUAUCUUAUAUCAAAAAUUUCAAAGGUUUCAUUGAUAUAACCGUUACCAAACUAAUUAAACAUUCCUCUUAUACGUGUUUGAACAAUUCGUAAUAUGAUCUAUUAAACGUAAACGUAGAACAUAAUGUAAAAUAAUGAAAGAGUAAGCGAAUGAGCAAAAGAAAAAGAGAAGAAGGGUGUUAUAACCGAGGCACGCUUCAAGGGUUCGAUCAAAGAAAAUAAGAAGAAGAAAAAGAGAAGAAGAGGAGAAGAAAAAAAAUCUACCCCCAAACGAUGAACGAGUUUCUCGUGUCAGAGCCAACUUUACACGUAACUUGGUCCACGUGUAUACACAUAUAUAUAUAUAUAUAUAUAUAUAUAUAUAUAUAUAUAUAUGUAUAUGUGUAUAUAUAUGUAUACACGUGAUUGAAGUUGUGUAUAAGAAGAGAGUGGAUGGAUGAACGGCAUACCCGAUGCUAAACAGGAAUCUUUUGCCACGCGCCGUAUGCUUGUUCAACCGUAGGAGAUCCCUUCUCCCAUAUGCUCCCUUCCUACGCCCUUCCUACGCCCAAUGGCACACGACAGACUGCAAAUGCAUCUCUCUUUCUUCGGCAUCUCUCACAGGCAUCUCUCUAUCGGACAUCGAUGCCCUUAUGAAAGCCGGUUCAAGCCGCGACCCGGUUCUAUUCCCUUUAUACAGAUCAACAACACCGUUCUAGAUUGGCAGCUGGUUCCGGUUGGUGGUCGAUACAAUUUUGGAAAAGUUAAUAUCUGUAGACUGUUGAACGCGUACUUUCGUACCCCGAUGUUCUUCCACGUGUUUUCUCGUCGGCAUCCUUCACUAGAAUGAGAUAAAUAAAGUAUGUACAGUUAUAAGAUAUUAUACGAAUUCGAUAAACAA